Molecule: ribosomal RNA, 505 nt
Filed under: uncultured Glomus
Lineage: Eukaryota; Fungi; Glomeromycota; Glomeromycetes; Glomerales; Glomeraceae
Description: SSU rRNA
Rfam family: Eukaryotic small subunit ribosomal RNA
Source: RNAcentral
AGCAGCCGCGGUAAUUCCAGCUCCAAUAGCGUAUAUUAAAGUUGUUGCAGUUAAAAAGCUCGUAGUUGAAUUUCGGGGUUAGUAGGUUGGUCAUGCCUCUGGUAUGUACUGGUCUCACUGAUUCCUCCUUCCUGAUGAGCCGUAAUGCCAUUAAUUUGGUGUUUUGGGGAAUUUGGACUGUUACUUUGAAAAAAUUAGAGUGUUUAAAGCAAGCUAACGCUUGAAUACAUUAGCAUGGAAUAAUGAAAUAGGACGUUCGAUCCUAUUUUGUUGGUUUCUAGGAUUGACGUAAUGAUUAAUAGGGAUAGUUGGGGGCAUUAGUAUUCAAUUGUCAGAGGUGAAAUUCUUGGAUUUAUUGAAGACUAACUACUGCGAAAGCAUUUGCCAAGGAUGUUUUCAUUAAUCAAGAACGAAAGUUAGGGGAUCGAAGACGAUCAGAUACCGUCGUAGUCUUAACCAUAAACUAUGCCGACUAGGGAUCGGAUGAUGUUAAUUUAAUGACUCA